CCCUACGGGGUGCAGCAGGCGAGAAAACUUUGCAAUGUGCGAAAGCACGACAAGGUUAAUCCGAGUGGUUUCUGCUAAAGAAACCUUUUGUCAGUCCUAGAAACACUGAUGAAUAAGGGGUGGGCAAGUUCUGGUGUCAGCCGCCGCGGUAAAACCAGCACCUCAAGUGGUCAGGAUGAUUAUUGGGCCUAAAGCAUCCGUAGCCGGCUCUGUAAGUUUUCGGUUAAAUCUGUACGCUCAACGUACAGGCUGCCGGGAAUACUGCAGAGCUAGGGAGUGGGAGAGGUAGACGGUACUCGGUAGGAAGGGGUAAAAUCCUUUGAUCUAUUGAUGACCACCUGUGGCGAAGGCGGUCUACCAGAACACGUCCGACGGUGAGGGAUGAAAGCUGGGGGAGCAAACCGGAUUAGAUACCCGGGUAGUCCCAGCUGUAAACUAUGCAAACUCAGUGAUGCAUUGGCUUGUGGCCAAUGCAGUGCUGCAGGGAAGCCGUUAAGUUUGCCGCCUGGGAAGUACGUACGCAAGUAUGAAACUUAAAGGAAUUGGCGGGGGAGCACCACAAGGGGUGAAGCCUGCGGUUCAAUUGGAGUCAACGCCAGAAAUCUUACCCGGAGAGACAGCAGAAUGAAGGUCAAGCUGAAGACUUUACCAGACAAGCUGAGAAGAGGUGCAUGGCC
This 677-nucleotide ribosomal RNA is filed under the name uncultured archaeon. Its description in RNAcentral is "bacterial SSU rRNA". It matches the Rfam family "Archaeal small subunit ribosomal RNA", at positions 321 to 999 of the family's 1478-position model. The record is from RNAcentral.